ACAUUCCAAAUGAACAUAGUUCAACUCUAGCUGCACAAGUUACAGAUUCCCUAGGUUACUAAAAAGACCUGAUGUUUUAUUCCUCCAACAGAAGCUCUUAAAAAUUGUUGACUCUUCUCUGAAGAGGGUCCUCUGCUUUGAAUGACAUGACAGGAGGCCUCAAUGGAACCACACAUUUCCUGAUCCCUGACAGGAACUAAGAAAAAGUCCUAGGGCAAAACCACAGGAAUAGAGUCAAUGUUGAAAUAAACAGGCU
RNAcentral lists this long non-coding RNA (256 nucleotides) under Monodelphis domestica (gray short-tailed opossum). RNAcentral describes it as "lncRNA (ENSMODG00000033135.2)". The record is from RNAcentral. Lineage: Eukaryota; Metazoa; Chordata; Mammalia; Didelphimorphia; Didelphidae.